AUUGAACGCUGGCGGCAUGCCUUACACAUGCAAGUCGAACGGCAGCACGGGAGCAAUCCUGGUGGCGAGUGGCGAACGGGUGAGUAAAGUAUCGGAACGUGCCCAGUCGUGGGGGAUAACGUAGCGAAAGUUACGCUAAUACCGCAUACGAUCUAUGGAUGAAAGCGGGGGAUCGCAAGACCUCGCGCGAUUGGAGCGGCCGAUAUCAGAUUAGGUAGUUGGUGGGGUAAAGGCCCACCAAGCCGACGAUCUGUAGCUGGUCUGAGAGGACGACCAGCCACACUGGGACUGAGACACGGCCCAGACUCCUACGGGAGGCAGCAGUGGGGAAUUUUGGACAAUGGGCGAAAGCCUGACUCAGCCAUGCCGCGUGCAGGAUGAAGGCCUUCGGGUUGUAAACUGCUUUUGUACGGAACGAAAAGGACUGCCCUAAUACGGUGGUCCCAUGACGGUACCGUAAGAAUAAGCACCGGCUAACUACGUGCCAGCAGCCGCAGUAA
RNAcentral lists this ribosomal RNA (500 nucleotides) under uncultured bacterium. RNAcentral describes it as "partial 16S ribosomal RNA". It matches the Rfam family "Bacterial small subunit ribosomal RNA", at positions 30 to 523 of the family's 1533-position model. The record is from RNAcentral.